UCUUGCCCCAGGUCUUGAGCGCAGGGUCAGCCAGUGCAGUGCAGAGUUUAGCAGUCAAUUUGGAAUAGUAAACAGAAAUUCAUAACCUAAAGAUAAAAUAUUAAAGAAAUAUUUUCUCAACCGAGGACAAACGGAAAAAACCCCCUAUUAAAGAAAUAAACGAGAAAAAAUGGAAGACCAAGAAUUUGCUGUGAUAUCAAAAGAUUCAAGUGGAAACAUUUUAGUAGAUGUAAACGGAUUUGUCACAUGUACUUUGGAAGGAGGUCUGCAAUUUCAAGUACCAUAUAAAGAAAUAGAUUUUACUUGUGAUGGAUUAGAAUGUAUUGUUGACAAUAGAAAAGUAUAUGUAAAAUUACAUGAAACUACAGACAAUACAUCAAUAAAUAAAGAAAAUAUAAUAUCUCCUCCAGUAAUACAAAAUGAAAAUAAUACGAUUAUACAAGAAAAACGUAGGAUAGAUGAUACUUUUGCUUGGACCGAUGCGAGUACCAAAUUGUUUUUAAGUAUAUACAAAGAAAAAAUAGAACUUUUGAUAAACCGAAAAAUCAAAACAAGAAAAAUAUUAUGGGACAAAAUACGUGAAGUUAUGCAAUCAGAAGGAUACAAUGUUACAGUUAUUCAAAUCGAAAACAAAUAUAAAUCUCUUGAAAGGUCAUUUAAAAACAUGAUUACAAAUAAUAAACAGACGGGCAGAUAGCGUACAACAUGUCCAUAUCAAGCGGAAUUAACAGAACUUUUAGGUUCUAAGCAUAAUGUAGAACCUUUGGCUGUUUCUGGCAGAGAAGGUUUAAUUUUACGAGAAGAUGUGAGAGCAAGUACAUCUCAAUUUAUUUCUGAUCCAAAUACAAAUUCAGAUGAAAAUUCAAACAUACUAUCUCAUAAUAUACAAGAGGAAAAUGAUAAUGCAAUCGAAAUAGGAAUGACGAGGGACACUACUACAGGAAGUAAUUAUACCAGCAAGAUUAUUACAAAGCAAAGCGAAAAAAAAUAGGGAGUACUGCACGAAUAGUAGAAAAGUGUCAAGAAACUGUUGAAAAGUUUAUAAAUGAUGCUGCGCAAGAAAAAGAAAAUAAAUUAGAAAUACAAAGGCAAAUACUUACAGAGUACAAAGAAAUGAGAAUUAGUUACGAGCAAUUUCUGAAGAAAAUACAAGAACAAUUAGAAACUUCAAAUAAAUUAA
This is a long non-coding RNA of Temnothorax curvispinosus, 1180 nucleotides long. RefSeq lists it as uncharacterized. The record is from RefSeq and is a predicted model, not a curated record. The transcript has 5 exons. Lineage: Eukaryota; Metazoa; Arthropoda; Insecta; Hymenoptera; Formicidae.